This is a long non-coding RNA of Bactrocera oleae (olive fruit fly), 582 nucleotides long. RefSeq lists it as uncharacterized. The record is from RefSeq and is a predicted model, not a curated record. NCBI's taxonomy places the organism in Eukaryota, Metazoa, Arthropoda, Insecta, Diptera, Tephritidae.
CGUCACAUUGUGUUUAUAUCCUUUUCCAUUUAUAAUUUUAUACAAGCAUAAUUUUAUUGAGCGGGAAAAGCCAUUUUGCCGUUCAUACUUUUGAAAUUGUUGCAAAGGCGUAGCAGUAAGAAAAUAGUAUUAUGAACCAUAUUCUCACACAUUGCGAGAAUGACGCCUUUACAUCGUGAAUACUUACUUGUAUAUGGUCUUUGCCACUGGCUUUUCAGCCAACUUCUGAAAACCGUUACAACAAGUAUGCUGAAUGAAAAAUUACGGGUGUCUCAUUGAGAGGAGCUGACACAACCGCUGACUUCAUUGUGUCGCAGCAAACGGCGACUUAUGGUGUUCCAUUAGUGUAACACGGAGCCAGUGCGUGUGAUUCUCGUGGCAGCUGUCGGUUAUACCAUUUUGUCUUAUGCACAAACUCGUCGUAAAAAUGCCAGGUCUUUGUGUUUUCAUUUUUCGGUUUCGACACUAAAUUCUAUAACGUUCUCAAUUACACGUAACACGUUCUGUCUAAAUUUACUACACCUAAUGGUCGCCUAUACAAUAUGUGACAUAAUAAAAGGCAAAAUAAAUACAAGCUCGGAA